GACGAACGCUGGCGGCGUGCUUAACACAUGCAAGUCGAGCGGUAAGGCCCUUUCGGGGGUACACGAGCGGCGAACGGGUGAGUAACACGUGGGUGACCUGCCCUCAGCUCUGGGAUAAGCCUGGGAAACCGGGUCUAAUACCGGAUAUGACUCCAUGACGCAUGUUGUGGGGUGGAAAGCCUUGUGCGGCUGAGGAUGGGCCCGCGGCCUAUCAGCUUGUUGGUGGGGNGAUGGCCUACCAAGGCGACGACGGGUAGCCGGCCUGAGAGGGCGACCGGCCACACUGGGACUGAGACAUGGCCCAGACUCCUACGGGAGGCAGCAGUGGGGAAUCUUGCGCAAUGGGCGAAAGCCUGACGCAGCGACGCCGCGUGAGGGAUGACGGCCU
This 388-nucleotide ribosomal RNA is filed under the name uncultured bacterium. Its description in RNAcentral is "bacterial SSU rRNA". It matches the Rfam family "Bacterial small subunit ribosomal RNA", at positions 28 to 417 of the family's 1533-position model. The record is from RNAcentral.